This 1034-nucleotide long non-coding RNA is filed under the name Equus asinus (donkey). Its description in RNAcentral is "lncRNA (ENSEASG00005032486.1)". Lineage: Eukaryota; Metazoa; Chordata; Mammalia; Perissodactyla; Equidae. The record is from RNAcentral.
GCCGGGGUUGCGCCCAGUCGGGGAGGGGCAUGGCGAGACCUGCCCCCCAGCUUUGUCUUAGUUACUCUGAGGCAAGGGGCUGCGCUGGGCCGGAGCAACUAUACAGUGCCUGGCCCCGCCGACCCUCAAAGUGUCCCGGCUACAUUGCAACCGCGGCGCGGGGAGAACACAGGAAAGGAGUGGUCACUGGGCCGACAAAGGGUAACUGCCAUUAUUAAGCACCCAGGCUGGCCAGGCGCCGUCACCACCCCUUCUGUCCCGCGGUGGCAGCCCAGGCACACAGGGCACAGGCAUGUGUCCUAGGAUUGUGGAAGAGGCAGCGCUGGGAUACGAACCUGGGACAUGGGGCUCUUGGCCCCCUGCGCCAGGCUGAGGAAGACGUGUGCUUGAACCAGGCUUUGAAAAUUGGGGAGGGUUUGAUGGGUGCAGGUAACGGAGCAAGCUCUGCCCUCAUGGCCGUGAGACCUCGGGAAGACGUUUGAUCUUGGUGGGCGCACUUUCCUCCUCCGUAAAAGUGGCCGCACUUAGGAAAACGAGUAACUAAUAUGUCCACCUCCUAGCAAAUUAUUGGAAGGAACAUGAGAAACCUUCUCUCUUAAAACAGAGUUAGAAGAUGAGCUGAUACCGGAUUUCUCUGCCUACGUGGUGGGCAGCAUUCCGCUGGAGCCGCUAGCUCUGUUUCCUCUAGAAGGCGUCGUCCUCUUCAGUUUGCUGGUCCUCACUGUUUACAGGAUUCAAGCGUCUGUACUCACAUCUGGCCGCUGAGAGCAGGCCUACAGGACACCCCAAGUUUCCCUGUGUCCUCUCCUGCCACCCUGAAACCUGUUCUUCACACAACAGCCUGACUCAUCUCUUAAAAUACGACCGCCAACAACCUCCCAACUGGAUACCUAAAUCUGAGGGUAACUCUUCUAACUGGUGAUUGACAUCUGCCGAAGCAAAGAAUCAGAUUAGCCCUGAGCUAACUGCUGCCAAUCCUCCUCUUUUUGCUGAGGAAGUCUGGCCCUGAGCUAACAUCUGUGCCCAUCUUCCUC